Molecule: unclassified non-coding RNA, 1428 nt
Filed under: Hevea brasiliensis (rubber tree)
Lineage: Eukaryota; Viridiplantae; Streptophyta; Magnoliopsida; Malpighiales; Euphorbiaceae
Source: RNAcentral
AAUUUUUGUUGGGGGAUUGCCUCCAACACUGACUGAAGAAGGAUUUAAAGAGUACUUUGAGGCUUAUGGCCAUGUAACUGAUGUAGUAGUCAUGUAUGAUCAAAAUACUAGGCGUCCGCGAGGAUUUGGAUUUAUAUCUUUUGAUACUGAAGAAGCUGUUGACAGAGUUUUGCACAAGACAUUUCAUGAUUUGAAUGGUAAACAAGUAGAAGUUAAGCGUGCCCUUCCCAAAGAUGCCAAUCCAGGUGCAGGUGGCCGUUCAAUGGGUGGUGGUGCUGGUAGUGGUGGUUAUCAAAGUUAUGGGUCAUCUGGUGGUGUCAAUUCAAAUUCUUAUGAUAAUCGUAUGGAUUCCAAUAGGUAUAUGCAAUCUCAGGGCUCUAGUGGAGGUUUCCCACCUUAUGGUUCCUCUGGAUACAAUAAUCCUGGGUAUGGGUAUGGUUCAUCAAACAAUGGUAUGGGAUAUGGUGGUUAUGGAAAUUACAGUGGUUCAAAUACUGGGUAUGGUGCCCCUGCAGCAGUAGCCUAUGGUAACCCAAAUGUCGCCAAUGCUGGUUACGGGAGUGGUCCUCAAGGUGGACCAAGAAGUUCUUGGUCAGGUCAAGCUCCCUCUGGGUAUGGAGCCAUGGGUUAUGGGAAUGCAGCUCCUUGGGGUGGUGCUCCCGGGGGCAAUGCUGGAGCUGGCAGUGGAGGACCUGGAUCUGCACCCACGGGUCAUUCUCCUGGUGGAGCUGCUGCUGGGUAUGGCAAUCAGGGUUAUGGAUAUGGUGGGUUUGGGAAUCAAGGUUAUGGUUAUGGUGGGGGUGAUGGCUCGUACGGAAGUCAAUCUGGUUAUAGUACAACCGGAGGACGAUCUGGUAGUGCCUCAAAUAGCAAUGUUGGGGGUGGUCCAAGUGGGGGAGAAUUACAGGGCAACAAUGCUUACAUGGGUAAUGGCUAUGGGGAUGCUAAUGGAAACACUGGUUAUGGAAAUGCUGCAUGGAGAUCUGAUGGAGGACAAGUAGGUUAUACGGGUGGUUAUGCUGGUGGACAAGCUCGACAAGCCCAACAACAGUAAUUUGAUGAUCAAAAGUGAACUGGAUUUUGCCAUGUUCUGUGUAUCCCUGUUUGUUUUAUGAGAAUUGAGAUCGAUGUUUCCAGUUGCUUAUUAAAAAAAGUUUUCUUGUUCCUGACUGAAGCAGUGGCCCAAUUUGGAACACAAUGAGCCUGGUGGGGUUGCUUGAAUCCAAGUAGCUUGCAGUAUUAAUUUUUCUAGUCUAAAAUAAGUAGCUGUUUUAGAAGUUUAUUGAUGCUUCAGUUAUUUAGUAUUUUGUUGCCGAACGUAGUUAAAUUUGAUCUCUUUAUGAAUGUCUAUUUAGCUGUCUGGAAUCAAUUUUCAUCUUUUCACAUUGUUUGAGCUGUAACAAUUUGUAGUCCUUUCCCAUUAUCAGU